This 497-nucleotide ribosomal RNA is filed under the name uncultured bacterium. RNAcentral describes it as "partial 16S ribosomal RNA". It matches the Rfam family "Bacterial small subunit ribosomal RNA", at positions 28 to 507 of the family's 1533-position model. The record is from RNAcentral.
GAUGAACGCUGGCGGCGUGCCUAAUACAUGCAAGUCGAGCGAACGGACGAGAAGCUUGCUUCUCUGAUGUUAGCGGCGGACGGGUGAGUAACACGUGGAUAACCUACCUAUAAGACUGGGAUAACUUCGGGAAACCGGAGCUAAUCCCGGAUAAUAUUUUGAACCGCAUGGUUCAAAAGUGAAAGACGGUCUUGCUGUCACUUAUCGAUGGAUCCGCGCUGCAUUAGCUAGUUGGUAAGGUAACGGCUUACCAAGGCAACGAUGCAUAGCCGACCUGAGAGGGUGAUCGGCCACACUGGAACUGAGACACGGUCCAGACUCCUACGGGAGGCAGCAGUAGGGAAUGUUCCGCAAUGGGCGAAAGCCUGACGGAGCAACGCCGCGUGAGUGAUGAAGGUCUUCGGAUCGUAAAACUCUGUUAUUAGGGAAGAACAUAUGUGUAAGUAACUGUGCACAGCUUGACGGUACCUAAUCAGAAAGCCACGGCUAACUACGUG